AUUGAACGCUGGCGGCAGGCUUAACACAUGCAAGUCGAACGAUGAUUAUCUAGCUUGCUAGAUAUGAUUAGUGGCGGACGGGUGAGUAACAUUUAGGAAUCUGCCUAGUAGUGGGGGAUAGCUCGGGGAAACUCGAAUUAAUACCGCAUACGACCUACGGGUGAAAGGGGGCGCAAGCUCUUGCUAUUAGAUGAGCCUAAAUCAGAUUAGCUAGUUGGUGGGGUAAAGGCCCACCAAGGCGACGAUCUGUAACUGGUCUGAGAGGAUGAUCAGUCACACCGGAACUGAGACACGGUCCGGACUCCUACGGGAGGCAGCAGUGGGGAAUAUUGGACAAUGGGGGCAACCCUGAUCCAGCCAUGCCGCGUGUGUGAAGAAGGCCUUUUGGUUGUAAAGCACUUUAAGCAGGGAGGAGAGGCUAAUGGUUAAUACCCAUUAGAUUAGACGUUACCUGCAGAAUAAGCACCGGCUAACUCUGUGCCAGCAGCCGCGGUAAUACAGAGGGUGCGAGCGUUAAUCGGAAUUACUGGGCGUAAAGCGAGUGUAGGUGGCUCAUUAAGUCACAUGUGAAAUCCCCGGGCUUAACCUGGGAACUGCAUGUGAUACUGGUGGUGCUAGAAUAUGUGAGAGGGAAGUAGAAUUCCAGGUGUAGCGGUGAAAUGCGUAGAGAUCUGGAGGAAUACCGAUGGCGAAGGCAGCUUCCUGGCAUAAUAUUGACACUGAGAUUCGAAAGCGUGGGUAGCAAACAGGAUUAGAUACCCUGGUAGUCCACGCCGUAAACGAUGUCUACUAGCCGUUGGGGUCCUUAAGACUUUAGUGGCGCAGUUAACGCGAUAAGUAGACCGCCUGGGGAGUACGGCCGCAAGGUUAAAACUCAAAUGAAUUGACGGGGGCCCGCACAAGCGGUGGAGCAUGUGGUUUAAUUCGAUGCAACGCGAAGAACCUUACCUGGUCUUGACAUAGUGAGAAUCCUGCAGAGAUGCGGGAGUGCCUUCGGGAAUUCACAUACAGGUGCUGCAUGGCUGUCGUCAGCUCGUGUCGUGAGAUGUUGGGUUAAGUCCCGCAACGAGCGCAACCCUUUUCCUUAUUUGCCAGUGGGUUAAGCCGGGAACUUUAAGGAUACUGCCAGUGACAAACUGGAGGAAGGCGGGGACGACGUCAAGUCAUCAUGGCCCUUACGACCAGGGCUACACACGUGCUACAAUGGUAGGUACAGAGGGUUGCUACACAGCGAUGUGAUGCUAAUCUCAAAAAGCCUAUCGUAGUCCGGACUGGAGUCUGCAACUCGACUCCAUGAAGUCGGAAUCGCUAGUAAUCGCAGAUCAGAAUGCUGCGGUGAAUACGUUCCCGGGCCU
Molecule: ribosomal RNA, 1355 nt
Filed under: uncultured bacterium
Lineage: Bacteria
Description: bacterial SSU rRNA
Rfam family: Bacterial small subunit ribosomal RNA
Source: RNAcentral